This 497-nucleotide ribosomal RNA is filed under the name uncultured bacterium. RNAcentral describes it as "partial 16S ribosomal RNA". It matches the Rfam family "Bacterial small subunit ribosomal RNA", at positions 28 to 507 of the family's 1533-position model. The record is from RNAcentral.
GAUGAACGCUGGCGACGUGCCUAAUACAUGCAAGUAGAACGCUGAAGCUUGGUGCUUGCACCGAGCGGAUGAGUUGCGAACGGGUGAGUAACGCGUAGGUAACCUGCCUCUUAGCGGGGGAUAACUAUUGGAAACGAUAGCUAAUACCGCAUAAAAGUCGAUAUCGCAUGAUAUUGAUUUGAAAGGUGCAAUUGCAUCACUAAGAGAUGGACCUGCGUUGUAUUAGCUAGUUGGUGAGGUAACGGCUCACCAAGGCGACGAUACAUAGCCGACCUGAGAGGGUGGUCGGCCCCCCUGGGACUGGGACACGGCCCAGGCUCCUACGGGGAGCAGCAGUAGGGAAACUUCGGCCAUGGGGGCAACCCUGACCGCGCAACGCCGCGUGGGUGAAGAAGGUUUUCGGGUCGUAAAGCUCUGUUGUAAGAGAAGAACGAGUGUGAGAGUGGAAAGUUCCCACUGUGACGGUAACUUACCAGAAAGGGACGGCUAACUACGUG